AAGCAUCAACAUAAUCCAUAUUUUGUCAGUCACAGAGCUCCAAAUUGCCAUAAUAUUCGAGGCCAAUGCACUAUGCAUUUAGCAUCAAAGACAUGUCGGGUGAUUCUCAGAACAGCCCUAUAACUACUGCAUCGUGCUUCUGUCAUCAAAAUAAAGCUCUAUCGAAAUUGAGAGGCAACUGUUAUUUGGCAUAGUUUUGCAUAUUUUGUCAAAUUCGUAGAGGCAAUUCCAACUACUUUUGUGUAUUAAACAAGAAAACUAACAACUAAUGUGUAUCAAAGGCAAGAACUAUUAGUUUCUUUAGGUGAGGAAGAAAGAAGAUUACUUCUGCCAAAAGAGAAAUAUAUUUUAAGAAAAUGUAUCUUUACAAUAAUGGAGUCCCUAGGUUGCUAACAUAGGCCAGGACUGACAAUUGUACAAUUAUAAAUGGCCAGAUAGGUACAUACCCCACAGGAAUCACAACCUGCUCCAAUGUGGACUUUAUGGUCACCCCACCAUGAGAAUGCAUUCUCCCCCGAUGAAGUUAACAAGUCAGAAUUCUCUUUAGCAGGUUCUGAUGAACCUGAAAUGCAUGCUGAUAUUAUCAAAAUUUGCAGACAACAUACCAAAAUACUCAGUGCAGCACAAAGACCUUAGAAAUUUCAAGCUUUGUGGGUAAAUCAUCAAAAUACUCGGUGCAGCACAAAUACAUCAGGCAAUGAAUGCCACUGAUAAUUACUAAAGAAGUAUAAAAAGCACAGACAGAAACAGCAACAUAGAAAGAAAAUGGAAUGCUAAACAGAAAGUUUUGGUGAAUUUUGCCCCAAAUAAAACAGAUCAGAAGCUUUUUGGCCAUUCAGCACCACUUUUUCAACUUCAGGAUUGUAAAACUAGUUACAUUGGAAAAAACAAUAACUGACAAAUCCGCAUCUUCAGAAAUAGAUCACCAGGCACUAUCUAAUCAUAGCCAGUUAGUAAACGAGAAACAACCCUUCUCCUUUACUUUCUCUAUAAUCCUCACCUCUCAUUUCCACUGACAGCAAAUCAAACAAGCCAGGAGCACUUUAACAGCUUAGAGCUUAUGGAGUUUUUUGGAUAGGGAGAUUAGACGAAGUACAUAGAGCAAAAUGAUCGGGAUAAAACUACUCAACAGUGUGUUUAUGAUCAGGACAUAAAACAAGGAAAAAAAAAUUUAUCAGGAGCAUACAUGUGCUUAGAUUUUCUCGCUGAGAACAGGACUGCUUAAGCUGAAUAAUACUUCUUCUUAGUGCAUAGUCCGCCGGAAAUUGUUCCUUGAGAAAAUUAUCAAAUUCCAAGCAGACUUUUGGAGUUUGUCCUGGAUGUCUGCUUUCACACUUUUGGCACUUGACUGUCUCAUUGGUUUGGGUAACAAUGCAACUUUCACAAUAAGCUGACAAAAUUCAGAGGAGACAGAAACAACAAACUGAGGUAAGUAGCUAAUGGAGCAGGAGUUGAGACACAUGUUACAAAUGGGAAGACUUAAAUGGGCACAGAUUCUAUUCCAUCCUACCAUCACUGCACCUAUACGAGGAAAUAAUGAUGAUACAUACCAUGGCCACAAUUAAGAACAACAGGAUGAUAGAGGAGUUGAUUGCACAAAGUGCACAGUGCGUCAUCAACUGAAAUUGGUUGGCGGGUUCCAUUGGCAAUCCCUUGGUGCAGUUUGUCACCGCGGUCAACAAUGGAACUAGUUGCUUCAAUAUCUCCCACAGCCAUUUUUAGAUUUUCUUGAUCAAUUAAUCCUGAUUCUGGUUGCUCCAUAUUAAACAUAACUUUGCUGUUGCCGCUACAACUUGGAUCUUUGGACAAGUCCAAUGAAGAAAUUUCAGAUCUUUGAGAACUAUCUGUGUGAUUUAAUUCUUGUUCAGUUUGUGGCACGCGUACAGGACCAUUAAACUGUGGUGAGAAGCAGUCCUGUUCCUUUUCAUAUUCUGGAAUAUGCAAAAUCAUUAAUUUUGUUAAACCACAUUACUUCAAUAAUAAUAACAACCCCAAUUAAAGCCAGCCACAACAAACUUGACCUCGGAUUUGAAUCUCCCUUCUCUGAUAUGCAACAGGAUACAUCUUGAAGAGUAAGAAGUGCAGCAUUUGGCAAAUAGUGGGAAAAUGAUGAUAAGGAUGUCUGCAGCGAGGACAAUGAGACUCGCGUAGACCACUCAUGGACUUCUGAACACACCAGAAACAGGAAAUGUGGCCACACACUGCAAAUAGAGAAAAGAGCCAUAAGACAGGACAAAGGAUAACAGCAAUUGCACCAUGAGAGCAACAUCUCACCCAGAACAACAGGCUUGUAGAGAAGCUGCCUGCACAAAGAAUUAAUGCCAAAUCAUAAGAAAGGCGGUGGCAACCCAAAAAAAAAAUGUAAGAAAGGUCUGUCAAACAAUAUAGUCUAGCGUGCACUAUAAAAUACACAUUUUACAAUGCGAUCUUCUACUGGAACUUCGCCAGUAGCAGUCACUAGCAUUAUAUUCCAAGUACCAUAUUUCUCUCUCGAUGAUAAUCAGAAGACAAAUUGACAUUUGAGAGGCUUAAAUUGUAAGUUUCCGUUUGAGAAAUGCAGAACCAGAUGACAGAAAAUUAGCAAGACUUAAUACGGGCUCACUGUUCUAAAUGCAACCAUGAUGAAUUUCUGAAACAACUAAUUCAUACCAACCACAAGAAAAAUAGAAGCCUUUUUCCUUUUUUUUUUUUUAGAAAAAUUGGUCUUUUGACAAUAAUCCAGUCCAAAUACAUCGUCCAUUAUUAUGCUGUACAAUAAUUCGUGCUUAUAAUAUUUAAUUUGAAUGUUUCAGUUUCAUUACCAAACUAACCUACCAAAAGAGGGGGAGAAAAAGAAAAGGAAAAACAAAGACACAGCAAGGAUGAAAUUUGGCCGACAUUUCCCUCUCUUUGUAAACAUCAGAUAAUAGCAUAUAAAUCCUGAGAUAACCAAUUCCUCCGCAAAUUCGAGUAAUUAAUAAUCCUCGCCAAGAAAAAAAGAUUUCCAGUAAUAAUUCUUUUCAUAGAAAACAGUCCAGCUCAUAAUUGCACGAAACAAAAUGCAGGCAACAGAUAAAUAUCAGAAUGUUGAGUCAGAGAAGAAUUACAAGCAAACGCAGCAGAUAAAAGAUUCGGAAAUCUUCUCAGAUGAAUCAUCGUGAUAGUCUAAUCCGUCCUCUAGUAACUUCUUAACCUUGUCUGAAAUUUCCAUUUCUUCACCAGAAAAUCGGAGACCUAUUUUCGAUGUCCGGGAGGGAUGGAGCGAGAGAGAGACAUAGAGCGGACGCCCAAAGGAGAAAGGCAGACAGCCGUGAAUGGUGGCUUUCUGCAAUGGCGUGGCGGUGCUGGUUAGGAGGCCCAAUUUCUACAGUCACUGGCCCAAUGACCUUGCGUUGGUGGAGCAUUUGCAGUCCAUAUCCUUUCUUUCUGACAUUUUUUUACAGAAGUAAGAAUUUACGUAAAUAAACCUAAUCUCUACGGUAACUUCAAAAGCCGGUAACUUUUAAAGUCCUGUGAGGGACUUAUCUAUCCAAACCCUUCCCCCCAAUACCGAUGUGGAAUAGAAAACCCCACAGGUGCCCUGCUGCUAAGAGAUAAAGACCCCCCAAGCCCCUGAGAAUGAGUUUUCUUUCUGACAUUUUCUUUCAGAAGUAAGAAUUUACGUAAAUAAACAUAAUCCCCAUAGUAAUUUCAAAAGCCGACAACUUUUGAAGUCCUGUGAGGGACUUAUCUGCCCAAACCCUUCCCCCCAAUAUCGAUGUGAGAUAGAAAACCCCACAGGAUUUGCAGUCCAUAUCCAAACUCGAAUAUUUUGACAUUCCCUGACUCGGCAAUUGAAGUCUCGCCAUUCGGAGAAGCGAAAAUGAACUUUUGAAUCGCACCAAAAAAGAAAAAGAACUUUGAAAGCGAUAUCUCUUUUAUAAACUUCAAACGUCUAAUGAGCUUGAUAUUUUAGAAAAGCCCAAAAAAUGGAACACUUAAAUAAAUUUGUUAUUUUAUGAAAAAAGGUAAAUAGAUAAUAGCACAAUAACUCCAUUAGUAGCUUUUGCCCUAAAACUUAUUGACCUUAUCCCUAAGAUGGAAUUCGAGAAUAUAUAUAUAUAUAUAUAUAGCACAUACGUUCUAGACGCAUAAAUGUGCAGCUAUUCUAAAUUUCUAAUAUAUCUUAAAACUUAAAACAAUUAUCCUGUGCAGAAUCGAUUUGGUAAUUAAUACAAAUAUUUUGCUUACACGCCUUUAUCAGUUUGAAAAUUCGAUGAAUAUGGUAGGUGUUUAUUUUCAGGGAUAAUAAUGGGUAGAAUAAAAUUCGAUGACAGUAAAUAUUCGAUCUGAUGGUUUAAUCUGAUUAGAUGAGUAAUCCGUUAGAAUUUGAUAUUGAUAUGCUUUUGACCUUGCAGGCAAAAACAGUAAGUUCUACGAGGCUUUCAACAAAGGGAAUGUACAACUAUGCCUGGCAAUUGGGCUGGUAGGGUGGGUUUUGGGCGAGUUAAUGUUGGGUUUUCAUUUAAAUGGGGGUUAUAUCCAAUCCGCCCAACUUUAGAUUGGAUUAAUCUUGAGUUGGAUCAUAUUGGGUUGUUUUAAACCCAUGACCCAAAUAUGACCCAAUAUAUUAAAUAAUAGAUUUUGAUACAUAAACUCUCUCAAAUAUAUUUUCAUAUACAAAAAAAAAAAUUCACACACAUAAAUAUAUUUUCACACACUAAAACACUUACAGAUGCAAUCACACACUCACUUUUUAAGUUCUUUUGAAAUACAUUAUUUUUACACAUACAAACACACUAAAAUACACACUAAUAUGCUUUCAUAAAUACACACACAUACUAACUGUUUAAACUACUUGCAUCCAAUCACAUUUUAAAGAAAGUUAUAAACUGAAAUUUUGACCCAUAAAUGAAUCUUGUAAAUAAACUAUAGUCUCUCAUAUUUGUAAAAUAAUUUGUUCAACGAAAUUACUUAUUUAACACUAAAUUAUUAUUUUAUAAUGUGUAUAAAAAUAAAAAAUAUAUAUAUAUAUAUGUGUGAGGCAGGUCGGGUAACGCGGGUUUUUAAUUAUAUGAUCCCAGUUGAGGAAUUGUAAUUACUAACCACAAAAAUCAAUGUUUGACUAAUGAAAUCCUGCUAAUUAAUAUAAUCAAAACUCCUAUUCAUCCACUGCUGCGCGGAGCAGAAGCAGCAGAAAACGAUAUGACAAUCGGGCAUAUAGGCCAAACGGAGGAAAAAAAAAAAAACGCUUUCUCGAGAAUAUGAGGUAUAAAGCUGAGAUAAUAACCAGCUCAUUAACAAGAAAAUCUAUUAAGAGAGCUCAAUGAGUUACUAUUUUGGUACCAUGCUACUUGGUACAAGUUUAUGAGCGCCGUCAUUUUUCAGAUGAUACAUAACAUACAUGUACGACGAAAAAGGACAUCAUAAAAUUGAUUUAUUUCUGUACACAGCCCGAAGCAAAGAUCUAAUCGUAGAGGUAUGGUCGACGAUAGUCCUGCAAGUAUCACAAUCUCAAUGAGAAAACAGCAUCAAGUCUAUUCUUAAGGGAUCAUAGAUUGUGGAAGCGGAGGCCUUGAAGUGCAGAAAUUUGUACUUUGCUCCAAGAGGGGGGUUGGCAAUAAUAUUUUGUAGAACUGGAAGCGCCUUUCGUUGGUGCCAAUUUUAGAGUAUAAGAACUUAAAAGGACUAAAACCGUUUUGAGUUCCACUUGAACUACUGGUGGUUAUUCUGAUCCUCUUCGGUCUCAUUAGGGGUAGAAAAACCGCUUUCUGCAGUUUCCUGGGCAUCAUCAGACAGGGCGAGAACCACACUUUCUGAAUUUCCUGAUACAUCACUGAUAGCAUUAGGACCAGCAGAACCAUCUCCCAGCUGACCCCUCAGCAGCCUCAACAUGAUAUUGCGCAUGGAAUUCGGUCUCAUGACCUCAAACUUGUGUUCUGGGGUGUGCUGUUGAUUAAAGCGACCAGGAAGCUUCGAGCAGGUACCAUAACAAUCUCCACAUAGGUCAUAUCCUAUUAAUUCCGUGCAGUCUUUGCAUCUGUAUCUGUCCCCAAUUAUUGGAUAGAUCUGAAAGGAUAAGUUCAAGCAUCAACAUAAUCCAUAUUUUGUCAGUCACAGAGCUCCAAAUUGCCAUAAUAUUCGAGGCCAAUGCACUAUGCAUUUAGCAUCAAAGACAUGUCGGGUGAUCCUCAGAACAGCCCUAUAACUACUGCAUCGUGCUUCUCUCAUCAAAAUAAAGCUCUAUCGAAAUUGACAGGCAACUGCUAUUUGGCAUAGUUUUGCAUAUUUUGUUAAAUUCGUAGAGGCACUUCCAACUACUUUUGUGUAUUAAACAAGAAAAUUAACAACUAAUGUGUAUCAAAGGCAAGAACUAUUAGUUUCUUUAGGUGAGGAAGAAAGAAGAUUACUUCUGCAAAAAGAGAAAUAUAUUUUAAGAAAAUGUAUCUUUACAAUAAUGGAGUCCCUAGGUUGCUAACAUAGGCCAGGACUGACAACUGUACAAUUAUAAAUGGCCUGAUAGGUACAUACCCCACAGGAAUCACAACCUGCUCCAAUGUGGACUUUAUGGUCACCCCACCAUGAGAAUGCAUUCUCCCCCGAUGAAGUUAACAAGUCAGAAUUCUCUUUAGCAGGUUCUGAUGAACCUGAAAUGCAUGCUGAUAUUAUCAAAAUUUGCAGACAACAUACCAAAAUACUCAGUGCAGCACAAAGACCUUAGAAAUUUCAAGCUUUGUGGGUAAAUUAUCAAAAUACUCGGUGCAGCACAAAUACAUCAGGCAAUGAAUGCCACUGAUAAUUACUGAAGAAGUAUAAAAAGCACAGACAGAAACAGCAACAUAGAAAGAAAAUGGAAUGCUAAACAGAAAGUUUUGGUGAAUUUUGCCCCAAAUAAAACAGAUCAGAAGCUUUUUGGCCAUUCAGCACCACUUUUUCAACUUCAGGAUUGUAAAACUAGUUACAUUGGAAAAAACAAUAACUGACAAAUCCGCAUCUUCAGAAAUAGAUCACCAGGCACUAUCUAAUCAUAGCCAGUUAGUAAACGAGAAACAACCCUUCUCCUUUACUUUCUCUUUAAUCCUCACCUCUCAUUUCCACUGACAGCAAAUCAAACAAGCCAGGAGCACUUUAACAGCUUAGAGCUUAUGGAGUUUUUUGGAUAGGGAGAUUAGACGAAGUACAUAGAGC
RNAcentral lists this long non-coding RNA (7146 nucleotides) under Coffea arabica (coffee). RNAcentral's name for it is "long non-coding RNA (CARA_LNC000791)". The record is from RNAcentral. Lineage: Eukaryota; Viridiplantae; Streptophyta; Magnoliopsida; Gentianales; Rubiaceae.